GUUGACGAGCCUCCCUUCUUGUCAUGCUUGGUCAUGAUCUGGAUAGCGAAAAGAGGGAGGUUAGGAACAUCACAAUGACAGUACUGAGAUCACUCAAGAAAUCCUAAUGAUGCACAAACCUCACAAUGUUGCCAACAAGGCAAGAACUUCCUUGAUCUUAUCCUUGAUGUUCUCUAGCUCCAGGUUGUUUCGCUGCAGCUCGGUAUUUGCUGAACCGUGUGUGUACAUGCAUCAGGGCAUACAUACAAUGUUCAAGUUAAUAUUCUUAGCAAACUAUGAUGUAACCAAAAUAAUUACUUCAGGACUUAGGAUAAAAAUUGAGCUUAGACAUGAAACUUUACAUCGCUCAUUUCAACCAUGUUAGAUAAACUUGAGGUAAAUUAGCAAUAAGGAUAUUGGUUACAAGCUAGGUGAAAGGCAAACAAAGUCCUACUAUAUUGAUGGAUACCAACUUGUUUAAACUAGAGCAGAUCGUUCAACUUGUGCAAUCUAGCAGUCUAAAAAGAGAGAAGUAUGUUCAUUCUCAGUUACACAUUAACUAGAACAAAAAUGAGAGACAUAAAUUAGAAAAGAAAUAAGAGACACUAAUAUAAGCAAGAACUUUCAACAAGUACACAUUAAUUAUUACAUAGCAUCUCUGGCACUGUUGUUGUUUGCAUACUAAAACCAGUAGUUGUCCGCUAUGAAGCAUCACUCAUUGACCAACAUUAGUAUGUCAGCUAGCAGAAUCCUCAUGUACUAACUUAGACAAAUUUGACAUACUAAUGCUAGAGAAAAUAAUUGUUUGCACAUCAUCAUCCAGAACCUCCUACAGGAUCAUUUCACUCUAAUCCCCUACCUGACUAAACUAACAAGUGCUCAGAUUACCGACAAAAACAAGUGGCAGUAGCUAAAAAAGUGACAGUAGCUCAAAAACAAGCAUAACAUCUGUCCAGGUGACCCGUCCGGAGUAGCGCGUAGUAGAGCACCUGCACC
RNAcentral lists this long non-coding RNA (975 nucleotides) under Triticum aestivum (bread wheat). Its description in RNAcentral is "long non-coding RNA (TAES_LNC003798)". The record is from RNAcentral. Lineage: Eukaryota; Viridiplantae; Streptophyta; Magnoliopsida; Poales; Poaceae.